RNAcentral lists this transfer RNA (87 nucleotides) under Phenylobacterium sp. RIFCSPHIGHO2_01_FULL_69_31. RNAcentral's name for it is "tRNA-Tyr". It matches the Rfam family "tRNA". Rfam says of the family: Transfer RNA (tRNA) molecules are approximately 80 nucleotides in length. Their secondary structure includes four short double-helical elements and three loops (D, anti-codon, and T loops). Further hydrogen bonds mediate the characteristic L-shaped molecular structure. tRNAs have two regions of fundamental functional importance: the anti-codon, which is responsible for specific mRNA codon recognition, and the 3' end, to which the tRNAs corresponding amino acid is attached (by aminoacyl-tRNA synthetases). tRNAs cope with the degeneracy of the genetic code in two manners: having more than one tRNA (with a specific anti-codon) for a particular amino acid; and 'wobble' base-pairing, i.e. permitting non-standard base-pairing at the 3rd anti-codon position. RNAcentral also lists the same sequence under 6 other names. Lineage: Bacteria; Pseudomonadati; Pseudomonadota; Alphaproteobacteria; Caulobacterales; Caulobacteraceae. The record is from RNAcentral.
GGGGGAAUGUCCCGAGUGGCAAAGGGGGGGGACUGUAAAUCCCCUGCUGUAAUGGCUUCGUAGGUUCGAGUCCUACUUCCCCCACCA